GCGGACAUGGCGGAAUUGGCAGACGCGCUAGUUUCAGGUAUUAGUGAGAAUUUCUCAUGCAGGUUCAAGUCCUGUUGUCCGCACCA
This 86-nucleotide transfer RNA is filed under the name Clostridiaceae bacterium. Its description in RNAcentral is "tRNA-Leu". It matches the Rfam family "tRNA". From Rfam's summary of the family: Transfer RNA (tRNA) molecules are approximately 80 nucleotides in length. Their secondary structure includes four short double-helical elements and three loops (D, anti-codon, and T loops). RNAcentral also lists the same sequence under 1 other name. The record is from RNAcentral. Lineage: Bacteria; Bacillati; Bacillota; Clostridia; Eubacteriales; Clostridiaceae.